GGAUUCCCCUAGUAACUGCGAGUGAAGCGGGAAAAGCUCAAAUUUAAAAUCUGGCAGUCUCUGGCUGUCCGAGUUGUAAUCUAGAGAAGUAAUGCCYGUGCUGGACCGUGUAUAAGUCUCCUGGGAUGGGGCGUCAUAGAGGGUGAGAAUCCCGUCUUUGACACGGACUACCAGUGCAUUGUGGUAUGCUCUCAAAGAGUCGAGUUGUUUGGGAAUGCAGCUCAAAAUGGGUGGUAAAUUCCAUCUAAAGCUAAAUAUUGGCGAGAGACCGAUAGCGAACAAGUACCGUGAGGGAAAGAUGAAAAGAACUUUGGAAAGAGAGUUAAACAGUACGUGAAAUUGCUGAAAGGGAAACGCUUGAAGUCAGUCACGUUGGCCGGGAAUCAGCCUUGCUUUUGCAUGGUGUACUUUCUGGUUGAUGGGUCAGCAUCAAUUUUGACCGCUGGAAAAAGGCCUGGGGAAUGUGGCAGCUUCGGCUGUGUUAUAGCCCCUAGUCRCAUACAGUGGUUGGGAUUGAGGAACUCAGCACGCCGCAAGGCCGGGUUUCGACCACGUUCGUGCUUAGGAUGCUGGCAUAAUGGCUUUAAGCGACCCGUCUUGAAACACGGACCAAGGAGUCUAACAUGCCUGCGAGUAUUUGGGUGGAAAACCCAAGUGCGUAAUGAAAGUGAAAGUUGAGAUCCCUGUCGUGGGGAGCAUCGAUGCCCGGACCAGAACUUUUGGGACGGAUCCGCGGUGGAGCAUGUAUGUUGGGACCCGAAAGAUGGUGAACUAUGCCUGAAUAGGGUGAAGCCAGAGGAAACUCUGGUGGAGGCUCGUAGCGAUUCUGACGUGCAAAUCGAUCGUCAAAUUUGGGUAUAGGGGCGAAA
RNAcentral lists this ribosomal RNA (869 nucleotides) under Agaricus sp. ZRL2012714. Its description in RNAcentral is "eukaryotic LSU rRNA". It matches the Rfam family "Eukaryotic large subunit ribosomal RNA", at positions 72 to 928 of the family's 3401-position model. Lineage: Eukaryota; Fungi; Basidiomycota; Agaricomycetes; Agaricales; Agaricaceae. The record is from RNAcentral.